RNAcentral lists this ribosomal RNA (2074 nucleotides) under human gut metagenome. RNAcentral describes it as "bacterial LSU rRNA". It matches the Rfam family "Bacterial large subunit ribosomal RNA", at positions 830 to 2925 of the family's 2925-position model. The record is from RNAcentral.
CAAUCGAACCCGGAGAUAGCUGGUUCUCCUCGAAAUAGCUUUAGGGCUAGCCUCGUAUUAGUUUAGCGGAGGUAGAGCACUGAAUUCCUAAGGGGGCGUCAAAGCUUACCAAGGGAUAUCAAACUCCGAAUGCCGCAUAAAUGAUGUACGGGAGUCAGACUGCACGAGAUAAGUUGGGCAGUCGAAAGGGAAAGAGCCCAGACCUUCAGUUAAGGUCCCAAAGUGCGCGUUAAGUGGAAAAGGAUGUGGGAUUUCAAAGACAACCAGGAUGUUGGCUCAGAAGCAGCCAUUCAUUCAAAGAGUGCGUAAUAGCUCACUGGUCGAGUGGUCAUGCGCCGAAGAUGUACCGGGGCUCAAACGCGCCGCCGAAGCAUGGGAUUCGCGCAAGCGAGUGGUAGAGGAGCAUUGAAUCAGGGCAGAAGCUGGAGCGAGAGCACGAGUGGACUUGAUUCAAGAGAGAAUGCCGGUAUGAGUAGCGAGAGGCAUGCGAGAAACAUGCCCGUCGAAAGCCCAAGGUUUCCUGGGGAAGGUUCAUCCGCCCAGGGUAAGUCGGGGCCUAAGCCGAGGACGAAUGUCGUAGGCGAUGGACAACUGGUGGAGAUUCCAGUACCACCUUCAAGAGCGAAGCGUUGACACAGAAGGAUAGCAUGAGCCGGUUGAUGGUAGAGCCGGUCCAAGCGGUUAGGCUGGUAUGUAGUGAAGUACGCAUACCGAAAGGCGGAGCCGUGAUGGGGAGCGAAAAACAAGUAGUGAAGCAUGUGAAUCCAGGCUGGCAAGAAAAGGCGCUAGUAAUGUUGAGGGUGCCCGUACCGCAAACCGACGCAGGUGGGCGAGGAGAGAAUCCUAAGACGAACGAGAGAACCCUUGUUAAGGAACUCGGCAAAAUGACCCCGUAACUUCGGGAGAAGGGGUGCCUCGAGAGAGGCCGCAGAGAAUAGGCCCAAGCGACUGUUUACCAAAAACACAGGUCUGUGCGAAGUAGAGAUACGACGUAUACGGGCUGACGCCUGCCCAGUGCCGGAAGGUUAAGGGGAAGUGUUAGGUUUAGGCCGAAGCACGGAACUUAAGCCCCGGUGAACGGCGGCCGUAACUAUAACGGUCCUAAGGUAGCGAAAUUCCUUGUCGGGUAAGUUCCGACCCGCACGAAUGGCGUAACGACUUGGGCGCUGUCUCAACAAGGGACUCGGUGAAAUUGAAGUAUGGGUGAAGAUGCCCAUUACCCGCGACUGGACGGAAAGACCCCGUAGAGCUUUACUGUAGCUUAUCAUUGGAAUUUGGUAACGGAUGUACAGGAUAGGUGGGACGCUGAGAAGGCAGGACGUCAGUUCUGCUGGAGCGGCCGUUGGGAUACCACUCUUCUGUUACUGAAUUUCUAACAACGUGCAAUGAGCUUGGCGAUGGACAGUGAUAGGUGGGCAGUUUGACUGGGGCGGUCGCCUCCCAAAGAGUAACGGAGGCGCCCAAAGGUACGCUCAGAUUGGAUGGAAACCAAUCGCCGAGUGCAAAUGCAGAAGCGUGCUUGACUGUGAGAGCAACAACUCGAACAGGGACGAAAGUCGGGAUUAGUGAUCCGGCGGUGCCGAAUGGAAGGGCCGUCGCUCAACGGAUAAAAGCUACCCUGGGGAUAACAGGCUGAUCUCGCCCAAGAGUUCACAUCGACGGCGAGGUUUGGCACCUCGAUGUCGGCUCAUCGCAUCCUGGAGCUGGAUUCGGUUCCAAGGGUUGGGCUGUCCGCCCAUUAAAGCGGUACGCGAGCUGGGUUCAGAACGUCGUGAGACAGUUCGGUCCCUAUCUGUUGUGGGCGAAGGAGAUUUGAGGAGAGCUGCCCUUAGUACGAGAGGACCGGGGUGGACCUACCGCUGGUGCACCAGUUGUAUCGCCAGAUGCAUAGCUGGGUAGCUAAGUAGGGAAGGGAUAAGCGCUGAAAGCAUCUAAGCACGAAGCCUACUCCAAGAUGAGAUCUCCCAUUCGCAAGAAGUAAGACCCCUUGAAGACGACGAGGUAGAUAGGCCAGGGAUGGAAGUGCAGCGAUGCAUGGAGUUGACUGGUACUAAUCGGUCGAGGACUUAAUCAG